This 555-nucleotide ribosomal RNA is filed under the name uncultured bacterium. RNAcentral's name for it is "partial 16S ribosomal RNA". It matches the Rfam family "Bacterial small subunit ribosomal RNA", at positions 355 to 902 of the family's 1533-position model. The record is from RNAcentral.
UGGGGAAUUUUGGACAAUGGGCGAAAGCCUGAUCCAGCAAUGCCGCGUGUGUGAAGAAGGCCUUCGGGUUGUAAAGCACUUUUGUCCGGAAAGAAAUCCUUGGCUCUAAUACAGUCGGGGGAUGACGGUACCGGAAGAAUAAGCACCGGCUAACUACGUGCCAGCAGCCGCGGUAAUACGUAGGGUGCAAGCGUUAAUCGGAAUUACUGGGCGUAAAGCGUGCGCAGGCGGUUUGCUAAGACCGAUGUGAAAUCCCCGGGCUCAACCUGGGAACUGCAUUGGUGACUGGCAGGCUAGAGUAUGGCAGAGGGGGGUAGAAUUCCACGUGUAGCAGUGAAAUGCGUAGAGAUGUGGAGGAAUACCGAUGGCGAAGGCAGCCCCCUGGGCCAAUACUGACGCUCAUGCACGAAAGCGUGGGGAGCAAAACAGGAUUAGAUACCCUGGUAGUCCACGCCCUAAACGAUGUCAACUAGUUGUUGGGGAUUCAUUUCCUUAGUAACGUAGCUAACGCGUGAAGUUGACCGCCUGGGGAGUACGGUCGCAAGAUUAAAACUC